Molecule: ribosomal RNA, 484 nt
Filed under: uncultured bacterium
Lineage: Bacteria
Description: partial 16S ribosomal RNA
Rfam family: Bacterial small subunit ribosomal RNA
Source: RNAcentral
AUUGAACGCUGGCGGCAGGCCUAACACAUGCAAGUCGAGCGGAUGAGGGGAGCUUGCUCCUGGAUUCAGCGGCGGACGGGUGAGUAAUGCCUAGGAAUCUGCCUGGUAGUGGGGGAUAACGUCCGGAAACGGGCGCUAAUACCGCAUACGUCCUGAGGGAGAAAGUGGGGGAUCUUCGGACCUCACGCUAUCAGAUGAGCCUAGGUCGGAUUAGCUAGUUGGUGGGGUAAAGGCCUACCAAGGCGACGAUCCGUAACUGGUCUGAGAGGAUGAUCAGUCACACUGGAACUGAGACACGGUCCAGACUCCUAAGGGAGGCAGCAGUGGGGAAUAUUGGACAAUGGGCGAAAGCCUGAUCCAGCCAUGCCGCGUGUGUGAAGAAGGUCUUCGGAUUGUAAAGCACGUUAAGUUGGGAGGAAGGGCAGUAAGUUAAUACCUUGCUGUUUUGACGUUACCAACAGAAUAAGCACCGGCUAACUUCGUG